GAUCGUAAUGGUAGUAGCAAAUAUUCAAGUUCGAUCCUUGAAGACUGAAGUGGAGAAGGGUUCCACGUGAACAGUAGUUGGAUGUGGGUCAGUCGAUCCUAAGGUACUGGCGAAAGCCUUGUAUCAUCGGUGGCGAAAAGCUUGCUUUUUGUCCCCGCCCGUCGAAAGGGAAUAGGGUUAAUAUUCCCUAACUGAGAUGCAAAGAUUGUGUUCUUCGGAGCACAAGCGCGGUAACGCGUUCGAACUUGGUAAGUCGCUCAGAGACCGAGCUAGAGUUUUCUUCUCUAGUUAAGGAACGGACUCCCUGGAAUUGGUUCAGCCAGAGAUGGGGACGUUGUUUCCGUAAAGCACCGCGGUUUCUGUGGUGUCUCGUGCUCUCUGAACGGCCCUUUAAACACCAAGGGAGGCUAUUAAUUUGCACUCAAUCGUACCGAUAUCCGCAUUAGGUCUCCAAGGUGAACAGCCUCUAGUCGAUAGAAUAAUGUAGGUAAGGGAAGUCGGCAAACUAGAUCCGUAACUUCGGGAAAAGGAUUGGCUCCAGUGGUCGGAACGGUUGGCCAGUUGGUUGAUGCUUGUCCGGCGCUGUUCUGUCUGCUUGAUGCUUUCGGGCUGAUGGCGGCCUAGUGAUAGUGCUUGCUUGUUGACGCUUUCUGGUGUGUGCUUUGACCUCGGUCUUAGUAUCCUGAUCGUUCAUCUAAACGACUAAACUGGAACCGGUACGGACUCAGGGAAUCCGACUGUCUAAUUAAAACAGAGGUGACAGAUGGUCCUUGCGGACGCUGACUGUCACUGAUUUCUGCCCAGUGCUCUGAAUGUUAAAUCGUAGUAAUUCGAGUAAGCGCGGGUAAACGGCGGGAGUAACUAUGACUCUCUUAAGGUAGCCAAAUGCCUCGUCAUUUAAUUGUUGACGCGCAUGAAUGGAUUAACGAGAUUCCUACUGUCCCUAACUACUAUCUAGCGAAACCACAGCCAAGGGAACGGGCUUGGCAAAAAUAGCGGGGAAAGAAGACCCUGUUGAGCUUGACUCUAGUUUGACAUUGUGAAGAGUCAUGAGAGGUGUAGCAUAGGUGGGAGUCUUCGGACGCC
Molecule: non-coding RNA, 1086 nt
Filed under: Caenorhabditis japonica
Lineage: Eukaryota; Metazoa; Nematoda; Chromadorea; Rhabditida; Rhabditidae
Description: Eukaryotic large subunit ribosomal RNA
Rfam family: Eukaryotic large subunit ribosomal RNA
Source: Rfam by way of RNAcentral